RNAcentral lists this long non-coding RNA (3732 nucleotides) under Marmota monax (woodchuck). Lineage: Eukaryota; Metazoa; Chordata; Mammalia; Rodentia; Sciuridae. The record is from RNAcentral.
AGAGCUUUAAUUUCACAAUUAUAAUUUACCACUUCAGAAGAGAAAUAUUGGUGUCUCGAAUGAUAGCAUAAAAUAUCAGUUGCUUAGAAUAAAGACCAUAAAUGUUUGCAUUUUUAAAAAGUGUUCAGUGUUUCAUACUUAAAUUAAAAGAAAUUUCUACUACUUGCCACAAAAUAAUUCCCCACUACCAAGUUUUCUCGGUGACAUUUUUAUCUGUCAGAUAAAGUUAAGAUCAAAUCAGAAGAUGUUUCCAAAAUGCAAGAAUGCUUUAUAAAUGAUUUCAUUCAAUAAACAGGGUCUUCGUCCAUCUUCUGCUGAGCCAAAUCACAACCAGAGACAAGAGAUUAGAAGGCAUGAAGAAAAGCCUCGAUUCCAGGAGCUGCAGUUUAGAAAAAACGAAAUGAAGGACCAGGUUAAAAAAUGGUCCAAUACCAGGGCUACGAUUGUGUGUUGUUUGUUUGUUUUCUACACCCUCAGCUCCUAACAUUGUUUCCGUGUCUCUGUCUUGCUCUGUCCUAGGGUGCUGCUUCUGUUUCCCACAGGGUGCCUGGGAGAGCACUGUACACACACAAUGGGUCAAGCACUAUGCUGGGUGUUUUAGGAGCAGAAGUAGCUAUUUCAUUUGCUCAGAGAAUACAACAUAGCUAAAUUCAUAAGGCCUCUUUCCUUGGAUUGAUAAAGUAACUUUUGAUAACCUAUUUAGAAUUUUUAUUAGUUUGCCAAAUCUGGUGUAAGGAAGUACAAUAGGCUGGGUGGUUUAAAAUAACAGAAAUUUAUUGUCUAACAUUUAUUGUCUAACACCAAAGUGUUGUCAGUCCCAUGCCCCCUGUGAAGUCUAUAAGGGAAUCCUUCUUUGCUUCUUCCUAGCUUCUAGCUUGUCUGGCAAUCUUUGGCACUCCUCAGCUUACAGCAACAGAACUCUAGACUCCGCCUUUGUUGCGCGGCCUUCUCCUUAGAUCUGUGUCUAUACAUGGCUGUCUUUUUGAAAGAACACCAGCCACAUUGAACUAAGGACCAGCAUGACCUCAUUUAAACUAAUUACAUAUGCAAUGACCCUAUUUCCAAAUAGGGUCACAUUCAGAGACACUGGAAAGGAGGUAGGACUUAACACAUAUUAACCAUAAUUAGAUUAUAUAUAAAAUUAAAAUGUGUAAAAUAACUUUACAUCAUUAAUUCAUUUGUGGUUAUAUAUGAACAUGAGCUCUGUAUCCCACACCAGUGUAUCACUCACAGGAUGUGAAAUGCCACAGUCAAAAGAAGGCAGAUUAUCAUCUUAAGCAGCCACAGGUUUUCUAAUGUUUAUUUUAUAUUAUAUGUUAAAAAAAUUGUAGGCUAGACAGAGGUUAUUUUCAUUAUAUGUUAUUUCAUUAUAUAUGUUUCAUGAAUGUUGUUCACAAACACUUCGUUUUUGUUUUGCAGGAAUAUUGGAAACAGUUAGAGGAAAUACGCCAACAAUACCACAGUGACAUGAAGGAAAUUAGAAGGAAGAUGGGAAGAGAGCGGGAGGUAAAUUCACUCUUCUAGAGGAAACACUUCUGUCAAUUAAGAACUGUCUAAAAGAGUAGGUGUUAAAAGCAAUGAUCUUGAACCAGGCGUGUAGCUCAGUGGUAGAUCUCUUGUUUGGCAUGCCCAAGGCCCUGGGUUUAAUCCCCAGCACCAAAAAGGAAAACAAAAAGUAAUGAUCUCUUUGUAGAUAGGAUAAAGUUUUAUUAUAGAUAAAAGCAUACAAAAUUCUUUUUUAAAUAGGAAAGCUAUCAGACCAAAUAAAAGCUUCAUUUUAUUAUGAUUUACUAGUGAGACCCUGUCUCAAAACAAAAAGGGUUGUGAGUGUAACUGAGUGGUAGAACACUUGCCUAGCAUGCACAAGUCCCUGGGUUCAAUGCCCAGUACCGCAUACACAUACACACAGACAAACACAAACACACAUACUUAUUCAUUUUCUUCCUUUUUAAUCAGUAUUUACUGAGCAACUACUUCAGGCCAGAUCUGGAUCAGAUGCAGAAAAUUCAAAAUGAGAAUAAAUUCAUGUUCAUAAGGAGGAAUAAAACCAAACAUCUAGAGUUGAUUCAGUUCAAUAUGGGCAGGCCGAAUGUUCUAAAGUCUAUACAGUCAUGAGCAGCAUAGGUUUUGGUCAGUAAUGAACCAUAUAUAUAAUGGAGGUCCAAUAAGAUUAUACUCCCUAGUGAUGUUGUAGCUUGGUUUGUGUAACUACAGUCUCUGAUGUUCACACAAUGACAAAGUCACUUAAUGAUGCAUUUCUCAGAACAUAUUCCUAUCGUUAAGUGAUGCAAGACUGAAAAAGGCAAAAUUUAAAUAUAGUUGAGAAUGAUUCUUAAAAAUUCUGUAAAGGUGCCACAUUGGAAAUUGAUCUUUUCCAGAAUUGUAGCAGAUUGCUGCUUCUUCAGUAGACGAAGCAGCUAGCCUGUGUCUUGAGUAUGCAGUAUGAAAAUCACUUGGGUAUUUUAAUCCUAGGUGUGCUCUGGAAUGCCCCUCCUAUGAGAGAUCUGUCGUCUCCCAUCUCCCACCACUUGGCUGUGUGCUUGUUGAGUAGAACCCACACAACAGAAAUUGAUAUCUCUUUCUCUCUCUCCCUCUUCCCACCAUGUUCCUUCACCUCUAGUGCAUAUGGCGGAAUUACAAUAAAUUAAAUGAGCAUAUGGCCCAAUUCAAUUGUAUGUGUAAGAAUACAGGCUAGAGUUUUCACAUAUCCUAUCUCAUUUAGACCCCAAACAGAGAAGUUGAGUGACUUAGAUAUUACAAGGCGGAUUGAAUAUUAAAAUAUCUGACUCUGGAACUAGGAAUGUAGCUCAGUGGUAGAGCUCCUUUGUAGCAUGUAUGAGACCCUGGGUUUGAUCCCCAGCACAUAUGUACAUACAUAUUUAAAUCUGACUCUGACACCUUUGUUCUUUCUAGCAGAUGUAGUUCUACUCAUAAACAGUCGGAAAGAUAAGACAAUAUAUGAAACAAUGAUAGAACAAGCAAGACUGACUAUAGUUGAGGAGCAAAGAUAAGAAGGCUGAGAAGAGGAGGAAGGUCUGAGAAGAAGAGUUGAAUUUAGAGGCCGAGCUAAGGAGAAAGCUUUGGAAGAACCAUGCAAAGAUUCCAAAAGGAUGUGCUGGAAGGGCAGCUUGGGGUGGUUCUCUCCAGAGCAGAGGUUUUGUUCGUGAUGGGGAGCCUUGUGCUGGUAUCAACCUUAUAUUUAAGGCAGGUCUGUGAUAGGAAACCUGAGUCCAAGGAAGAUGGGUAGCAGACAUUUUGAUUUGGUGGUCCUGGGGAUUGAAACCAGAACUCCAGGCAUCCUAGGCAAGCACUGGGUAGCAGACAUUUCUAGAAAGAUUAUGAAAGAAGAAUUUAAGGAAUGCUGGAAGCAGCCACAGGGAAAAGGAAUUAUAAGGCUCUAGGCCUGAGGUAUAGCUCAGUGGAGUGCUUUUCUAGCAUGCAUGAGGCUCUGGUUCAAUCCCCAGCAACACACACACACACACACACACAGGCUUUAUCCAGUCUCUGUCAGCAGGGAUGUGUCUCUCACUAGACCCACUCAGACCCUGGUGGAGGGUUAGGAAGUUGCCUUCAGCAUUCAUGCAGAAUCAUUCUUGUGUUAAGGAGAACUCAAAAAUCAGUCAUCACACCUAUUUGGUGAAGAAGAGUGGCCUGCCCAUCCACCAAGAAGCACCUGAGGAGGAAGCAUCUGUGCAGGUAAGACCCCUGUUACUAGAUAUACAUGUGUUUUAG